Molecule: long non-coding RNA, 555 nt
Organism: Passer domesticus (house sparrow)
Lineage: Eukaryota; Metazoa; Chordata; Aves; Passeriformes; Passeridae
Exons: 3
Source: RefSeq, a predicted model, not a curated record
CUUAAUUAAAAGGCUUUAAUAGGUAUCUCACUCCCUCACACCUCCCUGCUAGCAGACACUUAUUCAGAGCAGGAAGAUUAACAACACUUUUGCUACUUUGAUGCCUGACACCCAAACUAGAAAGCAAUUGGAUACUUGCAUGUUCACAGCAUUCAGAUCUUCUGUCUUAGUGUAAACCCAUCUGAAAGCUUUGACUCAAAGUCAUGAAGUCACAGGGGCUCCUUUCAAUGCCAUGUCCUGCUUGGAAACUCGACGUUGAACGAGAACAGAUACAGCACCACAGCAACCACAAAGUCAGCCUGAGUAUCCCUGAGGAUGGAGACCCCCAUGCAGUGUGGGCCCCAGCUCCAGUGCUAGACCACCCUCAUGGGGAAAAAUAAUUAACAAAACAACAGCAGUUCUCAUACUGUAAGGUCAGCAAGGGGAUUUGACUGUUAAUCUUUUAUCAAAUGUGCAAUCUGAAGCAGCAGUGGUGUGAUUGCAUUUCUGCCUGAACCCCUGACCUCUGCUGUGCAGGGCUGCCAAGAACACAUGCACAAGAGGGGAAGAGAAGCC